This 76-nucleotide transfer RNA is filed under the name Bacillota bacterium. Its description in RNAcentral is "Firmicutes bacterium (anaerobic digester metagenome) tRNA-Met". It matches the Rfam family "tRNA". Rfam says of the family: Transfer RNA (tRNA) molecules are approximately 80 nucleotides in length. Their secondary structure includes four short double-helical elements and three loops (D, anti-codon, and T loops). The record is from RNAcentral. Lineage: Bacteria; Bacillati; Bacillota.
GGCGGAGUAGCUCAGCUGGCAGAGCAAGCGGUUCAUACCCGCUGUGUCGUUGGUUCAAGUCCGACCUCCGCUACCA